AGAGUUUGAUCAUGGCUCAGGACGAACGCUGGCGGCAUGCCUAACACAUGCAAGUCGAACGAGAACGUUCCUUCGGGAGCAAUUAAAGUGGCGCACGGGUGAGUAACGCGUAGACAGUCUGCCCUUCAGUCUGGGACAACUUUUCGAAAGGAGAGCUAAUACCGGAUAACAAUGCAUGACACAAGUUGUAUAUUUGAAAGCUUUAUGUGCUGAAGGAGGGGUCUGCGUCCCAUUAGCUAGUUGGUAAGGUAAAGGCUUACCAAGGCAACGAUGGGUAGCGGGUUUGAGAGGACGAUCCGCCACACUGGAACUGAGACACGGUCCAGACUCCUACGGGAGGCAGCAGUGGGGAAUAUUGCACAAUGGAGGAAACUCUGAUGCAGCAAUGUCGCGUGAGUGAAGAAGGCCCUUGGGUCGUAAAGCUCUUUUAUGGGGGAAGAUGAUGACGGUACCCCAAGAAUAAGCACCGGCUAACUAUGUGCCAGCAGCCGCGGUAAUACAUAGGGUGCGAGCGUUGUUCGGAAUUACUGGGCGUAAAGGGCGCGCAGGCGGAAUAGUAAGUCGGAGGUGAAAGCCCGGGGCUCAACCCCGGAGGGUCUUUCGAAACUACUAAUCUAGAGAGGGUCAGGGGCCGGCAGAAUUCCUGGUGUAGAGGUGAAAUUCGUAGAUAUCAGGAGGAAUACCGGUGGCGAA
RNAcentral lists this ribosomal RNA (693 nucleotides) under uncultured bacterium. RNAcentral describes it as "bacterial SSU rRNA". It matches the Rfam family "Bacterial small subunit ribosomal RNA", at positions 8 to 719 of the family's 1533-position model. The record is from RNAcentral.